Molecule: ribosomal RNA, 218 nt
Filed under: uncultured bacterium
Lineage: Bacteria
Description: partial 16S ribosomal RNA
Rfam family: Bacterial small subunit ribosomal RNA
Source: RNAcentral
GCAAGUCGAGCGCACCUUCGGGUGAGCGGCGGACGGGUUAGUAACGCGUGGGAAUAUACCUAGUUCUAAGGAAUAGCCUCUGGAAACGGAGAGUAAUACCUUAUACGCCCUUCGGGGGAAAGAUUUAUCGGAAUUAGAUUAGCCCGCGUUUGAUUAGAUAGUUGGUGGGGUAAAGGCCUACCAAGGCGACGAUCUAUAGCUGGUCUGAGAGGAUGAUC